AGGACGAACGCUGGCGACGUGCUUAACACAUGCAAGUCGAGCGGAAAGGCCCUUCGGGGUACUCGAGCGGCGAACGGGUGAGUAACACGUGAGCAACCUGCCCUUAGCUUCGGGAUAGCUCCGGGAAACCGGAAUUAAAUACCGAAUAUGACUUUGGCUGACAUCAGCAGAAGUGGAAAGUUUUUCGGCUAGGGAUGGACUCGCGGCCUAUCAGCUAGUUGGUGAGGUAACGGCCCACCAAGGCGACGACGGGUA
Molecule: ribosomal RNA, 255 nt
Filed under: uncultured bacterium
Lineage: Bacteria
Description: partial small subunit ribosomal RNA
Rfam family: Bacterial small subunit ribosomal RNA
Source: RNAcentral